Molecule: ribosomal RNA, 496 nt
Filed under: uncultured bacterium
Lineage: Bacteria
Description: partial 16S ribosomal RNA
Rfam family: Bacterial small subunit ribosomal RNA
Source: RNAcentral
AUGAACGCUGGCGGCGUGCCUAAUCCAUGCAAGUCGAGCGAACAGACGAGGAGCUUGCUCCUCUGACGUUAGCGGCGGACGGGUGAGUAACACGUGGAUAACCUACCUAUAAGACUGGGAUAACUUCGGGAAACCGGAGCUAAUACCGGAUAAUAUAUUGAACCGCAUGGUUCAAUAGUGAAAGACGGUUUUGCUGUCACUUAUAGAUGGAUCCGCGCCGCAUUAGCUAGUUGGUAAGGUAACGGCUUACCAAGGCAACGAUGCGUAGCCGACCUGAGAGGGUGAUCGGCCACACUGGAACUGAGACACGGUCCAGACUCCUACGGGAGGCAGCAGUAGGGAAUCUUCCGCAAUGGGCGAAAGCCUGACGGAGCAACGCCGCGUGAGUGACGAAGGUCUUCGGAUCGUAAAACUCUGUUAUUAGGGAAGAACAAAUGUGUAAGUAACUAUGCACGUCUUGACGGUACCUAAUCAGAAAGCCACGGCUAACUACGUG